ACGAUUUCACUUGACAUCCGGUUUCCACAUGCCAGCCGUUGCUCUAAAAUGACUCUCCGUCGUCUCAAGUUUGCAAAACAGAAGUAUGCCAGUCGUAAAUCAUUUUCCGAAGAUACAGGCAGCUUGUAAUUUUGCCAAAUGCAAGACAAAGAGUGUUUUGAGGAGGAACUGCGAGUUUGUUCAACAUUUUUCCCAUGAACACGAAAAAGAUGACAUGCUUAGAAUGCUGUGAGAAAUGACAUCCUUGCGGAUGCUCCUGGGAGAGGAAAGUGAUGAGGGAGGAUGUGCGUGCGUAUUGCAUAUUUGUUGGUAGCGUCACGCAAAAGUAGCAAUCUGACAAAGACAGAUAAGGUCGACAUGGAUUGAGGUAAAACCAAUCCCUCGUGAGUUGACAAAAGACGGUCAGCUGAAGUCAGAGGUCAAGCCCAAGGAGUUUCCCUGUCAGUUUCAUUUUAAAAGUCUGUUGCUUAAAAAAAAAAAAAAAAAAGCCCAGCAUAGAGCUAUUGGUAUAUUUGCAAGACCAGCAAAAAAAAAGUUGUUUUUUUUUUUGCAAGGUGGCAGCUUCAUAAAAAAUUCAUUCAGAAAAUACAAAAGGAAUACUUGAAAAAUAAACAAAUAAAUAGAUGGGUUAUACCUUGGGCAUUCAAUCAUUUUAGGUGAGGUUUUACUAACCAACUAUGUUUAAGUUUUAGAUACGAGUAGCCCUGGCUGUAUCUUUAAAACAAUAAAUAUUUAUUUUUUUAUAAACUGUGACAUAUUGCACAAUCACUGCUUUGUGUGGCGGGAUUGACACAAAAACAAGGAAGCAGGUUGACAAGGCAAGAGCGGAAAAGUCUCAAAAGGGUAUUUUGUCACACAAAAAAAAAGCUUACCUAGUUGUACUUCACUUGGAAAAACAAACAACACAUCAUGGCGCCACAAAGAACAACACAAUGAACCGACUCCGACAGCAACAAACCUGGACUUUAUAUACAAACACACUAAUGAAACAACAAGGCACUCCUGGUUGGAGAAAGCUGAUCGGUUGACAGAGGAUCCAAGCCCAAAAAAAAAAAAUCACCAAAACAAUCUAUGUCAACAAAAACCACCUUAGCUAUACAAGUAACCUUUCUAGAUAAGAAAACAGGUAAAAUAACUGACUACAACGAAUGCACUUGUUUGUUGACAUUCCAGCAACUUAUUUUGAUAAGGCAAGAGAAAUUAAAACAAGAAAAUGACUAUGACAAAUUCA
This is a long non-coding RNA of Syngnathus typhle (broad-nosed pipefish), 1231 nucleotides long. RefSeq lists it as uncharacterized. Lineage: Eukaryota; Metazoa; Chordata; Actinopteri; Syngnathiformes; Syngnathidae. The transcript has 3 exons. The record is from RefSeq and is a predicted model, not a curated record.